This 433-nucleotide ribosomal RNA is filed under the name uncultured bacterium. Its description in RNAcentral is "bacterial SSU rRNA". It matches the Rfam family "Bacterial small subunit ribosomal RNA", at positions 28 to 451 of the family's 1533-position model. The record is from RNAcentral.
GACGAACGCUGGCGGCGUGCCUAAUACAUGCAAGUAGAACGCUGAAGAGAGGAGCUUGCUCUUCUUGGAUGAGUUGCGAACGGGUGAGUAACGCGUAGGUAACCUGCCUUGUAGCGGGGGAUAACUAUUGGAAACGAUAGCUAAUACCGCAUAACAAUAGGUGACACAUGUCAUUUAUUUGAAAGGGGCAAUUGCUCCACUACAAGAUGGACCUGCGUUGUAUUAGCUAGUAGGUGAGGUAACGGCUCACCUAGGCGACGAUACAUAGCCGACCUGAGAGGGUGAUCGGCCACACUGGGACUGAGACACGGCCCAGACUCCUACGGGAGGCAGCAGUAGGGAAUCUUCGGCAAUGGGGGCAACCCUGACCGAGCAACGCCGCGUGAGUGAAGAAGGUUUUCGGAUCGUAAAGCUCUGUUGUAAGUCAAGAACG